GAUUCACAGUAAUUCUCAGCGAAAGAUAAAGAGAUUGUUCAACUCUUCAAAUCUAUGGAGUUGCGUAUGGAGCAGCGUUUCGAUCUUGUUCAUCCGCGGAACAGGGUACGUUUAUAAAUUCAUCGUGGAAGCCAGGGCCAAGGUCAGACACGAGACCUUCAUCUUGGUCCGUGAAUGCACGCUGUCCAAUGUGGACAAAGCCAAGAUCAUCGAUGCCUUCUAAUCUCUGGGAGUGAAAAUCGUCCACGACGAUUUCUUCGACCACCAUAGUCUGGUAAGUGCGAUUAAGUUGGUCGACGUUCUGAUUUCAACCGUUUGCAUGCUCAGUUGGCCGAUCAGAUUAAGUUCAUCACGGCCAUUAAAGAAGCUGGCAACAUCAAGGUACGUUUCAAAAGAAUUAAAACUUUAUUCUAUUAACAAAAAUAAUAAUAUUUUUUAUAAUUAUAUAUUAUUUUAAUCAGCUAUAUAUAUGGAAGGUGGAGCUUUUCCUCGUCUUAAGAAGUUGACGAUUGAAAGUUGUCGUUACCUCCGGUUCUUACCAAAAGAACUACCCACUUCUCUUUCUGAACUACACAUUUUCAAUUGUCCAUUGCUAAAACAACGAGUGGAGAGGGAGACAGGGGAGGACUGGCUAAUUAUUGCUCACAUCCCAAAUAUCAUUGUUAAAGACAGUACCAGAGGACUUUUUGGAAAUUCAGAUUGAUUAAUUGGUUGAUGUACUAAAUAGAUAGAAGUACAAUCAUAUAUGGAAUUAAGGUACAAAUCUAUUCGCAGCUUCUAUUUGUGACUGUGUUCUCUUCUCUUAUCAGCUUAGAUACUUUUCUUUCCUUUUAAAUUUCUAAUUCUCAGUUAUUGGCAAUGGCAGUGUUGUGAUUGUAAUAAUGAAAGUCCUUAACUAAGUCUAAUGUGCUUUGGCUCUCUACAGUCUACUCCCAAUCCAAGCACCGGUAUACCAUCGUUAGGCCUUGCAUUUUCCAGAAAUUAUCAAAAUUUUAAUAUUUUUACUUUGUUGAUUUAAAUUUUGAAAAGAGCAUCGGGAGACGAAGUUUCACAAUUUUUAGAUCUCUUUCUGAUGAAAAUUCUGAACUCGAUGAAAUGUAAUAGCAAAAUUGUUAGAGGAGCAGUGGCCUAUAUGGAAAACUCAAAAUGAUAUGGUGUGGAGACAGAAGAGCUAUUCGGUUGAGCAGAUUGCUGUGUCAUCUUAAACUGCUCUUGAUCAAUGGAUGAACACUCUUAGACAAGUGGUUAAGUCACAUGACUACUAAGGAUGGGCUAAAACCUAAACCACAAGAUAAUGAGAUCAAGAUAAAAAUUGAUGCAACUCUCUUUGAAGAACGGGCAAAUCAUAGUUGAAGUUUUGGGGGUUAACAAAGCAGCUAUUCGGUUGAGCAGAUUGCUGUGUCAUCUUACUAAUAUUUUUUAUUUAUUUCUUAUUUAAAUUAGGCGGUUAAUAUUAAGUUUAAAAUAAAUAAUAUUAAUAGUACUUAUAUCGGUUAUAUUAACGAAAGAAGCGAACUGCAAGGUAUCGCAUCCCACUAUUAAUAUUCCGCCAUACUCAAUUGAGGUUCUCUCAUCUCAAUCCAAUCUACUUCUCCCUGCAGAGUAUUAUUCAGUUUCUCAAAAGAUAUUUUACAUAGUAUAAUUAAAAUAUUGGUGGCACGUAUGUACUUAGUUGAUGAAGCUUCUUGGGUUCUCUCUCUACUUUAGGUAGGUGUUAAUCUCUCUUCAUUGGGAGAACCAUUAUUAGUAAUUCUUAUUUAUUAAUACUGUUUCAGUAUUUAUUUUUAUUUGCCCAUUUCAAUCUGCAUUACAUUAAAUUAUCAAAAUGAAUGUAUUAUGUUAGGUGCUUUAUAUUUAUCUUUUGAAGUUGAAAUUGGCACACCUUAUUUAUAAAAACAUGACAUUCUCAAUGUUGAUUGGAGACACAUUUAUUUUUCUUCGAAACUUUUGGUUUGUAGAGGGAUCAACUGCUAAGACACUACAUUGAUUGUUCGAGAUCAAGUAGAGUGGUUUCUGAUUUUUCGCUUUCCCAUUUUUUUCUUUCAUUGUGUGUUAGAUUUUUUCAAAUUUCAUUGAAAAUAGAUAUGAUCGGACUAUUCUAUUUUCGUGGUGGAAGGUAUAAAUGAAGAUCAUGGACUUGUGACA
Long non-coding RNA from Cannabis sativa, 2145 nucleotides. RefSeq lists it as uncharacterized. The record is from RefSeq and is a predicted model, not a curated record. The transcript has 3 exons. NCBI's taxonomy places the organism in Eukaryota, Viridiplantae, Streptophyta, Magnoliopsida, Rosales, Cannabaceae.